This 816-nucleotide ribosomal RNA is filed under the name Leuconostoc mesenteroides. RNAcentral's name for it is "bacterial SSU rRNA". It matches the Rfam family "Bacterial small subunit ribosomal RNA", at positions 33 to 831 of the family's 1533-position model. Lineage: Bacteria; Bacillati; Bacillota; Bacilli; Lactobacillales; Lactobacillaceae. The record is from RNAcentral.
ACGCUGGCGGCGUGCCUAAUACAUGCAAGUCGAACGCACAGCGAAAGGUGCUUGCACCUUUCAAGUGAGUGGCGAACGGGUGAGUAACACGUGGACAACCUGCCUCAAGGCUGGGGAUAACAUUUGGAAACAGAUGCUAAUACCGAAUAAAACUUAGUGUCGCAUGACACAAAGUUAAAAGGCGCUUCGGCGUCACCUAGAGAUGGAUCCGCGGUGCAUUAGUUAGUUGGUGGGGUAAAGGCCUACCAAGACAAUGAUGCAUAGCCGAGUUGAGAGACUGAUCGGCCACAUUGGGACUGAGACACGGCCCAAACUCCUACGGGAGGCUGCAGUAGGGAAUCUUCCACAAUGGGCGAAAGCCUGAUGGAGCAACGCCGCGUGUGUGAUGAAGGCUUUCGGGUCGUAAAGCACUGUUGUAUGGGAAGAACAGCUAGAAUAGGAAAUGAUUUUAGUUUGACGGUACCAUACCAGAAAGGGACGGCUAAAUACGUGCCAGCAGCCGCGGUAAUACGUAUGUCCCGAGCGUUAUCCGGAUUUAUUGGGCGUAAAGCGAGCGCAGACGGUUUAUUAAGUCUGAUGUGAAAGCCCGGAGCUCAACUCCGGAAUGGCAUUGGAAACUGGUUAACUUGAGUGCAGUAGAGGUAAGUGGAACUCCAUGUGUAGCGGUGGAAUGCGUAGAUAUAUGGAAGAACACCAGUGGCGAAGGCGGCUUACUGGACUGCAACUGACGUUGAGGCUCGAAAGUGUGGGUAGCAAACAGGAUUAGAUACCCUGGUAGUCCACACCGUAAACGAUGAACACUAGGUGUUAGGAGGU